Non-coding RNA from Oryza meridionalis, 204 nucleotides. NCBI's taxonomy places the organism in Eukaryota, Viridiplantae, Streptophyta, Magnoliopsida, Poales, Poaceae. The record is from Rfam.
UUUAAGUGCAACCAUGAGUUUUCGCGUCCAACUUUAAUCGUCCGUCUUAUUUGAAAUUUUUUAUAAUUAAUAUUUUUGUUGUUAUGAGAUGAUAAAACAUAAAUAGUGCUAUACUCGUGACUUAUGUUUUUAAAAUUUUUCAAAAAAAUUUCAAAUAAAACAGACAAUCAAAAUUGGGUAUGGAAAAACAUGGCUGCACUUAAA